UACGGGGGGGGCAAGCGUUGUUCGGAAUUACUGGGCGUAAAGGGCUCGUAGGCGGCCAACUAAGUCAGACGUGAAAUCCCUCGGCUUAACCGGGGAACUGCGUCUGAUACUGGAUGGCUUGAGUGUGGGAGAGGGAUGCGGAAUUCCAGGUGUAGCGGUGAAAUGCGUAGAUAUCUGGAGGAACACCGGUGGCGAAGGCGGCAUCCUGGACCGGCAUUGACGCUGAGGCGCGAAAGCCAGGGGAGCAAACGAG
RNAcentral lists this ribosomal RNA (253 nucleotides) under uncultured bacterium. RNAcentral describes it as "partial 16S ribosomal RNA". It matches the Rfam family "Bacterial small subunit ribosomal RNA", at positions 524 to 776 of the family's 1533-position model. The record is from RNAcentral.